CCCUUAGAUGUUCUGGGCGGCCCGCGCACUACAUUGGCACUAGCAAAGAGAUCCUAGAUUGAAUUCUUUGGGGUAUUCUUCUAAAUGGUGUCGUGACUGGGAUAAAUCCUUGUAAUUAUUGGUUUUGAACGAGGAAUUCCUUGUAAUCGCGGUUUAUCAGCUCGCGUUGAAUGCGUCCCUGCCCUUUGUACACACCGCCCGUCGCUCCUACCGAUGGACCGUCCGGUGAAGCUCACGGAGUGACUGUUCACGCAACGGUUUACGAAGUGAAAUGGACCUCACGAUUUAGAGGAAGGAGAAGUCGUAACA
RNAcentral lists this ribosomal RNA (309 nucleotides) under uncultured eukaryote. RNAcentral's name for it is "partial 18S ribosomal RNA". It matches the Rfam family "Eukaryotic small subunit ribosomal RNA", at positions 1470 to 1796 of the family's 1831-position model. The record is from RNAcentral.